UACAGAGGUCCCAAGCGUUGUUCGGAUUUACUGGGCGUAAAGGGUGCGUAGGCGGCUAGGUAAGUUUGAUGUGAAAUCUCCGAGCUCAACUCGGAAACGGCAUUGAAUACUAUCCCGCUUGAGGGUCGGAGGGGAGACUGGAAUUCUCGGUGUAGCAGUGAAAUGCGUAGAUAUCGAGAGGAACACCAGUGGCGAAGGCGGUUCUCUAGUACGGUACUGACGCUGAGACGCGAAAGCGUGGGGAGCGAACAGG
RNAcentral lists this ribosomal RNA (253 nucleotides) under uncultured bacterium. Its description in RNAcentral is "partial 16S ribosomal RNA". It matches the Rfam family "Bacterial small subunit ribosomal RNA", at positions 524 to 776 of the family's 1533-position model. The record is from RNAcentral.